This 573-nucleotide ribosomal RNA is filed under the name uncultured bacterium. RNAcentral's name for it is "bacterial SSU rRNA". It matches the Rfam family "Bacterial small subunit ribosomal RNA", at positions 333 to 918 of the family's 1533-position model. The record is from RNAcentral.
AGAUUCCUACGGGAGGCAGCAGUGGGGAAUUUUCCGCAAUGGGCGAAAGCCUGACGGAGCAAUACCGCGUGAGGGAUGACGGCCUAUGGGUUGUAAACCUCUUUUUUCAGGGAGGAAUAAAAUGACGUGUACCUGAAGAAUAAGCAUCGGCUAACUCCGUGCCAGCAGCCGCGGUAAGACGGGGGAUGCAAGUGUUAUCCGGAAUCACUGGGCGUAAAGCGUCUGUAGGUGGUCUAGCAAGUCAACUGUUAAAUCUUGAGGCUCAACUUCAAAAUCGCAGUCGAAACUGUUAGACUAGAGUAUAGUAGAGGUAAAGGGAAUUUCCAGUGGAGCGGUGAAAUGCGUAGAGAUUGGAAAGAACACCGAUGGCGAAGGCACUUUACUGGGCUAUUACUAACACUCAGAGACGAAAGCUAGGGUAGCAAAUGGGAUUAGAUACCCCAGUAGUCCUAGCCGUAAACAAUGGAUACUAGAUGUUGAACAGAUCGACCUGUGCAGUAUUAAAGCUAACGCGUUAAGUAUCCCGCCUGGGAAGUAUGCUCGCAAGAGUGAAACUCAAAUGAAUUGACGGGG